AGUGAACGCUGGCGGUAGGCCUAACACAUGCAAGUCGAACGGCAGCACAGGAUGGCUUGCUCUCUGGGUGGCGCGUGGCGCACGGGUGUGGAAUACAUCGGAAUCUGCCCAGUCGUGGGGGAUAACGUAGGGAAACUUACGCUAUUACCGCAUACGACCUUCGGGUGAAAGAUGGGGAUCGCAAGACCUCUCUCGAUUGGAUGAGCCGAUGUCGGAUUAGCUAGUUGGCGGGGUAAUGGCCCACCAAGGCGACGAUCAGUAGCUGGUCUGAGAGGAUGAUCAGCCAAACUGGAACUGAGACAAGGUCAAGACUCCUACGGGAGGCAGCAGUGGGGAAUAUUGGACAAUGGGCGCAAGCCUGAUCCAGCAAUACCGCGUGGGUGAAGAAGGCCUUCGGGUUGUAAAGCCCUUUUGUAGGGAAAGAAAUCGGUCAGGCUAAUACCCUGAGAGGAUGACGGUACCUAAAGAAUAAGCAACGGCUAACUUCGUG
This 490-nucleotide ribosomal RNA is filed under the name uncultured bacterium. Its description in RNAcentral is "partial 16S ribosomal RNA". It matches the Rfam family "Bacterial small subunit ribosomal RNA", at positions 29 to 507 of the family's 1533-position model. The record is from RNAcentral.